This 1954-nucleotide unclassified non-coding RNA is filed under the name Portunus trituberculatus (swimming crab). RNAcentral describes it as "dNA damage-regulated autophagy modulator protein 2- like, transcript variant X2". Lineage: Eukaryota; Metazoa; Arthropoda; Malacostraca; Decapoda; Portunidae. The record is from RNAcentral.
CACUGACAAUUUCACUAAGGUAUGACCGGCUGACUGACUGAUUGACUGAAUGACUGAUUGAGUGAGUGAUUUGUGGCUAUUGUAGUGAUGAAGACUGCAUGAUCGAGUGACUGGCUGGCUGAAUGAAUGAUGAAUGAAGUGAGUGGAAGAUUGUCGUAGUGGUGAAAGAAGAAUGAAGAAUGAAAGAAAGAUUGUUGUGGUGAAAGAAUGAAUUAAUGAAUGUUGUAGUGGUGAAAGAAUGAAUGAAAGAAAGAUUGUCGUAGUGGUGAAGGAAAUGAAAGUGCCGUAGUGGUGAAAGAAUGAAUGAAGAUGCCGUAAUGGUGAAAUAAUGAACGAAAGAUUGUCAUAGUGGUGAAAGAAUGGCGUUGAAAUGAAUGAAUGACUAUCGUAGUGAUGAAUGAAUUAAUGAAAAAUGCCGUAGUGGUGAAAGAAUGAAUGAAAAAUUGUCGUAGUGGUGAAAGAAUGGCGUUGAGAUGAAUGACUUGUAGUGAUGAAUGAAUGAAAGAUUGUCGUAGUGGUGAAUGAAGAAUGAAUGAAUGAAAGUGUUGUAGUGGUGAAAAAAAAAUGAGUGGAAAAUUGUCUUAGUGGUGAAGCCUAGCGUAGUGAUGAAUGAAAGAUACAGUGAUAAAUUAAUGAAGGAAUAUAAUAGUUCUUGUAGUGAUGAAUUAAUGAAAGAAAAACGUAGUGAUGACUGAAAAAAUUGAGUAAAUGAGUUAUAUAGUAGUGAUGAAAGACUAAAUGAAUACCAAUAAUUAAUAUACUCAUAGUGAUGAAUGAGUGAAUAAAAAGAUACUUGUAGUGAAGAAUAAAUGAAAAAUAACAGCUCUAGCAAAGAAAACAGAUAAAAAAAAUGACUGACUGACAAUCCAGCUUAACCCAGCCUAUCCUAACCCAACCCAGCUUAACCCAGCCUAUCCUAACCCAGCCCAACCUUACAGAAAUUGAAAUGAGAGUGGAAACUGGCCAAAAAUGCAGAAAAAGUGGAAUAUUAUGCCUUUUUUUCCUCUACUGUCAGCUCUUCUUAUGCCCAUCACCUUCUUCAUCUCGUAUGCUUGGGCCGUGGCGCUGGGACAUGUGGAGCCAGUGUUCCCCUACAUUAGUUCCACUGGUGCCUACCCCCCCGAGAGCAGCUUUUUCUCCUUCAUGCUAGAUAUUGUGGCUUUGCUAAUUGCAGUGACAGUGUGGGGACGACAUAAGCAGAUCGAGAGUUACUCCAGCCAGGCACUCAUAAACAAGGACCUUAAGACCACCAGCAGGGUUGCCACAUUCUUCGGUCUUCUCUCUGCCUUUGGUCUGUUUCUUGUUGGGAAUUUUCAGUCCACCUCCAUCAUCACCAUUCAUCUCAUUGGUGCUGUGCUGGCGUUUGGCAUAGGAACCAUCUAUCUGUGGAUGCAGAGUGUGAUGUCACUGAACCUGUCGCCGCGAGUGAAUGGGCGGGCAGUGAUGGUGGUGCGGUUUGUGUGUUCGGUGAUGGCAACACUGUUUCUCCUCAUCACCAUUGUGUUCUCCGUUCUGCACGACAUGGCCAACGAGGGAAAGGAUAACUCUUACUUGCCGGAGAGCAGCGACUGGUGGAGGAGAGAGGGGAGGGAGAAAUGGAGCUAUCACAUCUUGGCCACCUCCAAUGAAUGGCUGCUGUCCUUCACCUACGUCAUAAUGCUGCUCACCCUUGUUCCUGAGUUCAAGAGGCUGUCCUUCCAUGGGGUCAAGAUAGAGUAUGACAGGGAUCGGCGGCAGGUCAGAGAAACGGAUUUGCCAAGGUCAACUGACGCUAUUGUCUCCACAAGGGCUCAAGACACUGCUCUGUAACACCGCUCCACCACCACCACCACCACCCACAGCACCACAAAGGAGGCACCAGCACCAUCACAACAAGUCUAUAAUUAUUUUUCUAACUUAUGUACCAGUUAACCAGUUACUCGUUAAAAUGGUCUAAUGGUACACAAAUCUCAAG